GUGACAGCCGCCGCGGUAAUACGGAGGAUCCAAGCGUUAUCCGGAUUUAUUGGGUUUAAAGGGUGUGCAGGCGGGUUGAUAAGUCAGCGGUGAAAGUUUGCAGCUUAACUGUAAAAUUGCCGUUGAAACUGUCGAUCUUGAGUGCAAAUGAGGUAAGCGGAAUGUGUUGUGUAGCGGUGAAAUGCUUAGAUAUAACACAGAACACCGAUUGCGAAGGCAGCUUACUGGGAUGCAACUGACGCUCAUGCACGAAAGCGUGGGGAUCAAACAGGAUUAGAUACCCUGGUAGUCCACGCAGUAAACGAUGAAUACUAACUGUUUGCGAUAUACAGUAAGCGGUACAGCGAAAGCGUUAAGUAUUCCACCUGGGGAGUACAUUCGCAAGAAUGAAACUCAAAGGAAUUGACGGGGGCCCGCACAAGCGGAGGAACAUGUGGUUUAAUUCGAUGAUACGCGAGGAACCUUACCCGGGCUUGAAAUGCUAUCGACGGACUUGGAAACAGGUCUUCCAGCAAUGGCGAUAGUGUAGGUGCUGCAUGGUUGUCGUCAGCUCGUGCCGUGAGGUGUCGGCUUAAGUGCCAUAACGAGCGCAACCCUUAUCAUUAGUUACUAACAGGUCACGCUGAGGACUCUAAUGAGACUGCCACCGUAAGGUGUGAGGAAGGUGGGGAUGACGUCAAAUCAGCACGGCCCUUACGUCCGGGGCGACACACGUGUUACAAUGGGGGGUACAGAGGGUCGCUACCACGCGAGUGGAUGCCAAUCUCGUAAAGCCUCUCUCAGUUCGGAUCGGAGUCUGCAACUCGACUCCGUGAAGCUGGAUUCGCUAGUAAUCGCGCAUCAGCCAUGGCGCGGUGAAUACGUUCCCGGGCCUUGUACACACCGCCCGUCAAGCCAUGGAAGCCGGGGGGACCUAAAGUACGUAACCGCAAGGAGCGUCCUAGGGUAAAACUGGUGACUGGGGCUAAGUCGUAACAAGGUAACC
Molecule: ribosomal RNA, 985 nt
Filed under: uncultured bacterium
Lineage: Bacteria
Description: bacterial SSU rRNA
Rfam family: Bacterial small subunit ribosomal RNA
Source: RNAcentral